RNAcentral lists this ribosomal RNA (253 nucleotides) under uncultured bacterium. RNAcentral's name for it is "partial 16S ribosomal RNA". It matches the Rfam family "Bacterial small subunit ribosomal RNA", at positions 524 to 776 of the family's 1533-position model. The record is from RNAcentral.
UACGUAGGUGACCAGCGUUGUCCGGAUUUACUGGGCGUAAAGAGCGCGCAGGCGGUCGUUCAAGUCGAGUGUGAAAGCCCCCGGCUCAACUGGGGAGGGUCAUUCGAUACUGAUCGACUGGAAGGCAGGAGAGGGAAGCGGAAUUCCCGGUGUAGUGGUGAAAUUCGUAGAUAUCGGGAGGAACACCAGUGGCGAAGGCGGCAUCCUGGACCGACAUUGACGCUGAUGAGCGAAAGCUAGGGGAGCAAACGGG